GCUUGUUGUAAGCAGUAUCGGCACAUAUCGGCUGGCUGGCGCAGGCUGGCUGAACUGCGCCUAAAGGUUGGUUGGGGCGACGGGGCAGAGGCGGGGCUGGCCAGCCCGCCCGGGUGCAGGGCCAGGGGUGCAGGGGCUUGCGGCAGCAGGCGCAGGUGCAGGGGCCAAUCUGCCCAUGACAGCCCACAUACUGCCGGGCAAGGCUACAUUUGUCGCAAUAGCAGUAUAGGCUAGUGUAAAACACCGUGCGCACCACGGUAUGGGUCCCCUUCAAAGUAGUUCGCGUCACUGUUCGCGUCUCAGCACUCGCGUCACGAUACGCGGCCAGACGCCCCCUGACGCAUCCUGACGCGCUCGGACGCGCUGAGACGCGCCGAGACGCGAGUUUCCCGUCGUUACAGUGACCUGCAUACCCAUCGCACUAUCUGUUGGCGCAGGACUUCAGGAGAGCUAGGACUGCCUCAGCUGCUGUUGAUGCUGUUGAUGCUGAUGCGAGGCAUGCGACUGUACACGAGGGCACCACUCAACCUGAGCGUGCAAGCACACAGACCGUGCCGAUGUUGCCGAGGCCCAGCCGGGGUAGGCAUGUAAUCAAAGGAAAGUGUGGAGAGCCCCUGCUGUAAUCGAAGGAAAGUGUGGAGAGCCCCUGAGGGGAGGGGGGAGG
RNAcentral lists this long non-coding RNA (664 nucleotides) under Chlamydomonas reinhardtii. Its description in RNAcentral is "long non-coding RNA (CREI_LNC000350)". The record is from RNAcentral. Lineage: Eukaryota; Viridiplantae; Chlorophyta; Chlorophyceae; Chlamydomonadales; Chlamydomonadaceae.